Long non-coding RNA from Panicum virgatum (switchgrass), 2895 nucleotides. RefSeq lists it as uncharacterized. NCBI's taxonomy places the organism in Eukaryota, Viridiplantae, Streptophyta, Magnoliopsida, Poales, Poaceae. The record is from RefSeq and is a predicted model, not a curated record. The transcript is spliced from 2 exons.
CGACCGCUCCAUGCUCCUCUUCCCCUUCCGUUUAAUUGCCGCAACUCUCACUGCCUGCCUGCCUGUUGUUCGGAAUGCGAUUCUGAUUACUACAUGCAUUGGAAUUAAUGUACUACUUUGCAAAAAUUCUUGUCUGCUAAUUCAUUUUUCCAUCCCACUGUCGUUAGUCUGUUCUUCAGUUCCCAUUCAUUUUAUUUUGUCUCUUGUGUGAGAUGUGUUCUGCAAACUGCUGUCUUCUUAGGAUUAUUUUUUUUAUAGAGUAAUAGUUUAAAUUUUGAAGUAAGAGGUGUAUCGGAUUUUCAAUUACAUUAUUUGCUAAAUGAACUAGCCUUUGGUUAGUUUCCUGAAAUCCUGUCAGUAUCUCUUUUAAAUUGUGUAUACUGAACAUUAGGCUUAGGUCCUAUUUUGUGUUGGAUCUGUGCAGCUAAUAAUUCAUGAGUAGCUAUAUUAUUUGAUGGCUUCAUGUUUCAAAAAAAUGCUGGCUUAAUGUGGUGCACAAUUGAUCUAAUAGCUUCAGAUUUCAGUAAUACAGAUUCUAGACUAGGCUCUUCAGAUUUCAGCAAUACAGAGGUAUAAUAAUUACCUUACCAAAUACUUAUUCCAUACCUAGGGUAUUCCAUACCAAAUCUGCUGCUGUUUUGAGUCGAUUAGCAUUUGAUCCUCCCUGCUGUCGCUUGAUUGUCCGCAUUGGUGGCAACGAUUUAUGAUUGGAUUCCUCGCGUUAAAUCGAGUAGUAGGCGUACCUUCUGGUGUUUUCAGCCUAUUAGCAGUCCCAAAUGUAGUGACGGCUGGGUGCAGAAGCAACCAAUUCAGAUUUGUUCUAAUUUGGUGAUGUGAGCAGUUUGAUUUAUUUUUGUCAUAUCAUGAUUUCAUUAGCCGGAGUGCAGGCUCGGGCCUUUGGAUGUGGUACGACUGUAUGAGCGCCUGUGAGUCAUUUUUCCUCAUUCGUAGUCCUUAUUCAUCGUGUGCGGGAGUGAGUUUAGAGGUUCCAUUUCUGGUUCCUUUGCUCUGAGUUGAUGUAAAAGACCCAGGAUUGGGGGAGGUUGGCUGUUCGUCGCUUCAAGCUCCUGUUCGAAGAAAUGCCUGCAAGCCGUGUGUAGCCAAUGCAAAAGUAACGUAAACUUGCUAUGCAAUCUUGGCCGUGUACAGGUGUGGUCACUGAACGGAAUAUGACAUCAAAAUUGGUAAAGGUGUGGUCACUGGAAGGAAUCUGACAUCAAAAUUGUAUCUUGCUAGAGUAUAUGAUCAAUUUGCCGUACUCUCUGGUUAUGGCUAGCAUAUAUUGCGGUAACUGUGUCCAGCAUAGCUAUGUAAAAAGCUAACAGGAUGUCUUCUGCAAUGUAUUGAUGUAAAAGAUCUGGUAUUGGGGAGGUUGGAGAUUUUGAAAUCUGAAAUACUUAGCACAUUAAUAUUGCCUGAGCUAUGUUUUCUAUGCAUUUUUGUUUGAACAGUUGAGAAUAGAAGUACAUCAUGCAACCUUAUAUUUAUCCUAGGUUCUAUUCAGAAAUUUGGUCCAUUCAGAUUGUUUAUUGAGAAUAUAAGACUGCUGAAAUUUCGUCUCUCAUUUCACAGGUGAUCCAAUCACCCUCUACUUUGAGAAGCUACAAGCUAGAUGGAAAAUUGCUGCAGGUAGGUAGUAGUUCAAAUCUUUCUGUUCAGAAAGAACUGAGGAGGAGACUGGGAUCUUCUUUUAUCCUGAAAUAAUGUGUCACUAGCAAUGUUCUCACUAGAGGUAUUCUAUUCAGUUUCUUUGAACUUUACAUAGAAAUAGCAACAAGCUUGUAAUCCCAUAGAGUUAAUUUUAUAGUCCAUAAUAGACUGAUCUAACCGAUAAGCUGAUUUCCUGCUACUUGAAACAUGAGCUUUGCUAAUGGGUGAUGAGACGCUUCCCUGCUAGAUCAGAGACAACACUUAUCUCUACCAUUUUUCAUUCUUUCAGCUAAAAACUCAUGAGAGGCUUACAUGUUGGAUCAGGAUGUAAAUAUAAGUUAGAUAUUGUUACAAACUCACAUGGCUUCUAUUGGUGAAGUUUGCAUCUAUACUCUUUUCUUUCAGACAGAUAGGAUGUGCUUUACUCUAAACAAAAAUAAUUGACAUUUGUCGAGGAUCCACAGACAACAGGUCAAUCUGGUAACUUAUGGACACGCCAGAAAAAUUGAUGACCCGGUGUGGGCUAGAGAUAGCUGCAUCAGAUGUCUAGACCUUUCAAUCUAGAAUUGUAAUAUUCUUCUCUCAGUGUUCAACUUCAGCUUGGCCUUUUCUCAACAAUAGAUAAUUUUGAUGCAACGAUCUAUAGCCAUUCAAACACCUGGUUGCCGGGACAUGAAGGCACAAGUAUUUUAUGGGAUGACUGAUAUGGAUGUAUGUCCAGCAACUGAGUGUAGCAGAGAUGCGGAUGUUGCGGUGGUUUUGCGGAGCAUACAAGGAGGGAUAGAGUCCGGAACGAAGUUAUUCGGGAUAGGAUCGGGGUGGCACCAAUUGAGGAGAAACUUACCCAGCAUCGGCUGAGAUGGUUUGGACAUGUCCAACGAAGACCUCCUGAUGCGCCGGUGUGUAAUGGGGUUCUUGAGCGGGUCGAUAAUGUAAAGAGAGGUAGAUGUAGACCUAAACUGACAUGGGAUGAGUCAGUUAAGAGAGACCUUAAGGAUUGGAAUAUCUCUAAAGAGAUAGUUUUGGAUAGGAGCUAUUGGAGACUAGCUAUCAAUGUGCCUGAAUCUUGAACUUAUUUCUUUCGGGUUUCAUCUCUAGCCUACCCUAACUUGCUUGGGAAAAAAGGCUAUGUUGUUGUUGUUGUAGUAGUAGUAGUACUGAUAUGGAUGUAUGGCUUAACAAAGCUGAGCCGAAGGGAGAGAAUUUUAAGCUUAAUAAAAAUGUAGUGAAUCAUUAUAUGAGAUA